AGAUGUGGGAAGAUUUCCCUCUUCUUCAGGUCAAGGAAAAGCACCAAGCUUCAAACUGCGACCCCUCAUCCCGUGGUGGACAAGGCCCUUCAGGAAUGGUGAAUGGAAACGACUGUAUAGUCAUCCCAGCAACUGGUCUGUUCAAGUCCAAAAUUCCUCCUGGGAGAGAUCAUUUUGCAGGGACUACAUCAAAUGUUGUGCAGCUUCCCUGGGCAGGAUUUGCAGCCAUUCUGGAAUGAAAGCUUCCUGAAAGGAAUCUAUUUCCCUGUGGGACUGCCCAGCUUUCAGCCCUGCUUCUGGGGGAAGAGUUCAUCACAGGACACCUCGUGUAUCUGCUCCGGUUUGAAACCAAACAUACUGAGAAAUGUUGAGAAACCCCGGUCCCAGCCAUCACCCACUGCUGGAGCCUGUGGGGCUGAGCUGGACCCCCGGGAGGAGCACUCUGUGCCAAUGCCCUGCCCUAAGGAAUCAAAUCCCAUCUCACCAUCCUGGCAGAAUGGAUUAAAAUGAACCACAGUGUGUUUGUGCUCAGAAACCUGCCCUGGUGUCCUCUGGCUGCUGGAGAAAAAAAGACUUGCAGGGGAGUAAAACUGUUUAGAGUGCAAUUCUCCUGGACAGAAGCAGCUGGAAUCUUUGUGUUAACUCUGAGGAAUGGAAGCCCCAAGGCACACAGUUCUUGCUUUAUUAACUGGGGACGUAGUUUAAAGGAAAAUUUCACCUUUCCCAUCAUUAAGGAAGAUGAAGGAGGGCAGCAUGACAAUGGUCUGCACCACAUGCCCCCUGCUCAGACACAUAAUGGGGCUGGGGAGGCUUUUCUGUGGAAACACUCUGGUCCUGGA
Molecule: long non-coding RNA, 839 nt
Organism: Lepidothrix coronata (blue-crowned manakin)
Lineage: Eukaryota; Metazoa; Chordata; Aves; Passeriformes; Pipridae
Exons: 7
Source: RefSeq, a predicted model, not a curated record